GCCGAAGUGGCGGAAUUGGCAGACGCGCUAGGUUCAGGUCCUAGUGUCCUUUACGGACGUGGAGGUUCAAGUCCUCUCUUCGGCA
RNAcentral lists this transfer RNA (85 nucleotides) under Bremerella cremea. RNAcentral describes it as "Blastopirellula cremea tRNA-Leu". It matches the Rfam family "tRNA". From Rfam's summary of the family: Transfer RNA (tRNA) molecules are approximately 80 nucleotides in length. Lineage: Bacteria; Pseudomonadati; Planctomycetota; Planctomycetia; Pirellulales; Pirellulaceae. RNAcentral also lists the same sequence under 1 other name. The record is from RNAcentral.